AGCAGCCGCCCGGGAAUACGGAGGGAGCUAGCGUUGUUCGGAAUUACUGGGCGUAAAGCGCACGUAGGCGGCUUUGUAAGUUAGAGGUGAAAGCCUGGAGCUCAACUCCAGAAUUGCCUUUAAGACUGCAUCGCUUGAAUCCGGGAGAGGUGAGUGGAAUUCCGAGUGUAGAGGUGAAAUUCGUAGAUAUUCGGAAGAACACCAGUGGCGAAGGCGGCUCACUGGACUGGUAUUGACGCUGAGGUGCGAAAGCGUGGGGAGCAAACAGGAUUAGAGACCCCUGUAGUCCCUGUCUCUUAUACA
Molecule: ribosomal RNA, 303 nt
Filed under: uncultured bacterium
Lineage: Bacteria
Description: partial 16S ribosomal RNA
Rfam family: Bacterial small subunit ribosomal RNA
Source: RNAcentral